Molecule: long non-coding RNA, 5469 nt
Filed under: Homo sapiens (human)
Lineage: Eukaryota; Metazoa; Chordata; Mammalia; Primates; Hominidae
Description: HSALNT0002423
Source: RNAcentral
AAGAGAUUUAAUGGACUCACAGUUCCACAUGGCUGGGGAGGUCUCACAAUCAUGGUAGAAGGCGAAGGAGGAGCAAAGGCACAUUUUACAUGGUGGCAGGCGAGAGAGCCUGUGUAAGGGAACUGUCCUUUAUAAAACCUUCAGGUCUUGGGAGACUUAUUCACUAUCAUGAGAACAGCAUGGGGAAAACCUGCCCCUGUGAUUCAAUUACCUCCCACCACGUCCCUCCCAUGACAUGCAGGGAUUAUGGGAGCUACAAUUCAAGAUGAGAUUUGGGUGGGGACGCAGCCAAACCAUAUCAAGGGGUGUGAGUGUGGGUGUGGGUGUGUGUGUAAUGUACGUAGUGGUGUGCUACUGCAUAUCUCAACUCCAUUCAGUGAUGUCACAUUGGCAGCUUGAAAUUGGCCAGAGUGAGAGUAUUUAUAUCACAGAAAUUGGCAAACACUGCAAAUCAGAAUCUUUUCCCCUGAAGAGCCUGUUUACCAGCACACCACUGGGAAUCCAGCAAUGAGCAACUCAGUCCCUCCCUUUGAACUUACAUUUUGGUGUGAUGGCGCUCCAGGACUGAUCUUAGUGUCCUCAUUGCUGAGGGGCAGCUGCUGGGCAGGGCCUGCUUUGGUGAUAGAGGUUGUAAAUUGCCCUCAAAUCACAGGAGCUCUCCAUUCCAGCAAGUGAGUUGUUACCAUGCACCAGGAAGAGAGGAAAUGGGACAAGGAGGAAAUUCAGUUAAUUGAGAGCUGACUUUGCCAUUGAGUAACCCUAUUCAGGAUGACUCAGGCAUCUGGGAGGAAAAGCAGCAGUGGUGUCUGAGGACAGACCGUGGACAAAUUAAGUAGCUUGGGGCUUGUGGAGUUGUGAUGUCCAGGACAUGGGUGGCUAGAGCUGACAUAGGCAACAGUGGGCAUGACCUGUCCAUAUGGAUUCAGGACCUGCAUGAGAGAGUAGAGGCAGACGGUUGCUCUUGUACAUCCUGUGAUCUCUGGUUGGAAGAUGGACAUGUGCACAUGUUACAUACAGUGGAGGGAUGUGCGGAGUGUAGCAGGGGAAUGGGGUAGGGAGAGGGGAACAAUUCAUGCCUCUGAACCUUUGCACAUGCUGCUCCUUCUACCCAGGGGAGUUAAUGUGUGUUUUCUCCACCCAGAAGGAAUGGCAUGUGCAAAGGCUCAGAGGCAUGAAUUAUUGAGAGUUCAGUCUGGCUCUGGUGUCAGGUGAAUCAAAAGUCUGCAGGGCUUGAAACAGAGUAGGGGAAGCAUUGAACCUUCCUCAAGUCAGGAGGCACAGCAUCAUCUGGGUGCCAGCAAAGGAAAUCUGACAAACCUCACCUGUCAGGGGCCUUGUGCUGUGUGGAUCACCCUGCUUCCCUAAAAAUCUUUGAGGUUUCUUGGUAGUUUCCUGCUGUCCCUGAAGCUUGCUGGUCUUCCAGCCCCUGCAUCUGUGGCUGGUGGAUUCUCAAAAAAAAUCCAUGUUAAUAUCAAGCACAAAACUUAAUUGGGAAGAGGGGUCUCCUGUUCUCCCCCCAUUGCUAAUUGAUACCAGAAAAGCUGCUUCUGUCCUUCAUUUAGGCAGAUAAUUGAGAACUUGUUUGCUUAAAGGCAACUGAUUUUGACUUUAUGCCUAUAGGUGCCAGAUAUUUUUCAUGCAUCAAUUCAUUUAAUUUCCAUGCCGAUCCUGCAAGUACGUCCUAUUUUCCGAUCUUAUCGAUGAGGAAAUUGAGUCUCAGAGACUUAUCCAAGGGCACUGUGUUUGUAAGUGGCAGGAUUUGAACCCGGCAGGCCCUGAGAUCUUUCUGCAGUCCCGUGCUCCCCUCCUUUAUGCGGUUUUCCUUUUCCCUUUGAGGAGGGGAGGGAGAGAUUCAUCACAUGCCUGGAAUCUCAGCACACUUUGCCUUUCUUAGUUCGGAGUUAAUGUAUGUUUUUUUAAUUCAGUGUUGGCAAGGCCCAGUCUGGUCAUAGCUGGGUUUGUUACCUUGUGGCUCAGGGGCAAGGAUGAGAAUAGAAUUCUGGUACCCACACGGGCUCCCUAGGCCUGGUGUCAGGAAAGAGCUAAUACUAAUGGCUCAUAAUUGCAGAGUGGCAGGCACCUUGGUAGUGCAUGGCUCGUGGGAGCUUUCUCAGUUCUCAGCUACUCCAAGAGGUGGGGUGCAUCAUUAUCUCUGUUUUGCCUCCAUUGAACUUGCCCAGGGUUGAGCAACCAAGAGUUAGAAGCACCACAUUCUGCUCGCCCCGGAGUCCUGCCUCUCCACUCUUGUGUCUUUCCUUGAGCAGCGCCAACCCUCCCAGGGCCUGGCCCGGCUGUGCCUUUGACAGCCCCUAGCAGCAGUGCCCAUAUGCUAUGGAAAAUGGGGAAGGAUAAUUGACCACUUGGCCACAGGCCCAGGGUCUGCCCACCUCUUGGUUAGAGCCAGCACUGAGCUCCCUGCCAUGGGGUUCAUCUUCCCACUGGCCUGUUGGUUGAGAGGAUGGUCUCAGACCAGGCCCCAACACCACCUUCUUGCAGAUACAUCCCCAGUCCAGGGCAGUGCAGGUGGUUUGUGAUGGUGCCAGCCCAUGUUGGCAUGUUGGGCCCAAGAUGAGGUGGCAUUUCUGAGUUUUGGAACCCCUCUUUCUCCUUGAGAGCCUGGCCCCAGAGUGCCCUCCUCUCUGUAAAAGUCCUGGUUCUAGUCGCUGGCUGAUUGGUAUGCAUCCCAGAAUCCCGGCCAUUAGCAUACAAGGCGGGAGCCAGCUCUCAUUACUCCCCUCUCUUCAUUGUUUGAAGUGGGCAGACUUGGAGUGAGCUUUGGAAAUGUGGGCUUUUUAUUCAAUUUCCCUAGAAAAACAAUGGUUAAAUUAAGUAGGAAAAUAACAGUCUCCCGAAAUUGAAGAAAAAUAUUCCUGAACCUAGACAUUACCCACAACCUUUGAAUUUCUUUUAAAACAGGCAUUUGUUUUACUUUAAGUUAUACAUGUAUCGCAUGACCACUGAAGAAAACACAGAGAAAAUACAGAGAGAAGAAAAUGGAAAUCAUUUUGCCACCUGAAGACAGCCUCUCUCAAUAUUGUGGUGCAUAUCAUUCAUGUAUUCAGUGAUUCAUUUACUCAUUUGGCAAGUAUCUAUUUAGGGCCCACAAAGGGAGAGGCUGUGUUGGGUUCUGGGAGUAGACGCUGGGAGUAGAGGGGUACCCUGCUCCCUGCUGGGGCUCUUUCUAUGUUGGGCCUUGGGCAACUCACUUGACCCUUCUCUUAUCUGUUUUCUCAUCUGUGGAAUAGGGAUAACACUAGUAGCUGUGUCAUAAGGCAUGGAGAUUUGACAAGAAAGGGCAGGUAGGAUGCUCAUGAUAUUGCGUGGCCCAGGUCAAAGCUUAGUAAUGUUGGCUUUUGUCAUGUAGGGGAGGAAUAUCUUUUCUUCUACCCUGUUAGGUUCUGUGAUAGAGCCUAUGAAUUAAACUGACAAAAGACAGAUUAAUAGGAGAAAAGGCAUAUAGAUUUUAUUUAAUGUUACUAUAUAUAUGUAUUUUUUUACUGUAAGGGGUCUCCAUAGAAAAGAAAUGAAAAUCCAAAGAGGCAGUUAGACCCAGGAGCUUACGUAACAUUUUAACAAAGGGCGAUAAAUUGUGGAGAAGUGAGGAGACAAAAGAAAAGUAUUGGACUCUUAGGGGUCAGUAAAUUUCAGGAAAGUGACUAGGAAAUGUAUGGUAGAUAAGGGUGGUUUAGUAAGGUUUGUUAUGCAGAUAAAGUAAGGUAGAGGGGUACACCUUUGCAAAUGGAAAUUUAUGUCACCUUUACAAAGGGAAAUGUGUGCCCUGCUUUUAGGCAGAAAAGGGGAGGCAAAGAGCUCUUCCUGUAUUGGCUGCUGCUCAAGUACCUUGAGCUCAAAAUAAUUCUUUUUUUUUUUUUUUUUUUUUUUUUGAGACAGCAUCUUGCUCUGUUGCCCAGGCUGGAGUGCAAUGGUCUUGGCUCACUGCAUCCUCUGCCUCCUGGGUUCAAGCAAUUCUCCAGCCUCAGCCUCCUGAGUAGAUGGGAUUACAGGGGCUGAGGCAGGAGAAUUGCUCGAACCCAGGAGGGUGGAGGUUGCAGUGAGCUGAGACUGUGCCAUUGCAGUAUAGUGUGGGCAACGAGAGUGAAACUCCAUCUCAAAAACGAAAAAAAAAAAGCCAAAAAACCCCAAAGAAGUCCAAGGGGGUAGUGAGGGCCUCUGGGCUGGAGAUGCAAACUUGGGCAUCCUUAACAUAUAAAGGGGACAGGUGUGACCACCCAGAGAGACAAUUCAGAGGAGAGAUCCCUCCACAGGGAGGUGAGCUCUGGGAGCUCUUAUAUUUAUAGUCUGGUGGAGGAGGAGGAGCCAGGGCAGGCAGCCUGGGAGCUAGGGGAAGAUGGGUGCAAGGAACUUACCUUUAGUGCCAGGUGCUGAACUAAACACCUGGGGAGGAUCGGCCCCUGGUCCUCACGAUAAGUCUGUGAGGUGCAGGUGCUAUUAAGCGUCUCACCUUAUCGAAGCGGAAAGAGGCCCGGAGGUGACCCAGUGCACCUGCCAGCAGGUGCACGACUGUGUAGGGAGUGAGGAUUCACACCAAGGGGGGCAGUCCACCUCGUUUGCCCACGGCAUUCCCGUGUUGCAGAGGAGGAUUCCAAAGCUUGUGGUUUUGUUCAUUUGUUUUCAUUUGUCUGUCCUUGCAUUCCUCUCCUCCCAACACAUAUUUACUAAGCACCUACUGAAUGCUGUGCACUGGGCAAGGAACUGGAGAUUCCAAGAUGAGUAAGGUGUGGCGCCCCUUAAUCUGGUGAGGGAGGUGGAUGGGCAACAGCUGAAGGGUGGGCGGUGCCUGAUGCAGGUGGAGGGACUCCGAGGAGGCUUCCCAGGGGAGUGUCCAAGCCAAGCAGUGGAAAAGGCAGAGUUAGGUCAGGAAGCAGGAGGCAUCCAGGCAUGUGCCAAGGCUCAGGGGAGGGAAUAGCAGGGCCAUGUCAGGGAGGGUGCAGGAGGGUGCUGCUCAGGAGCUCUGUCCAUUGUACUAGGGGCUUGUACUUUAUCUUGUGGGCCCUGCGAGCCAGUCAACUGUUUCAAGCUAGGGGAUGACGGGAUUAGAACUUUUUGUUUGGGGUAGAGAUUGGGCUGCAAGGGACAGAAGAGUUACCAGGGAGAGCUUUCAAGGCUGUUAAAAGGCUCUCGAUUCCUAGGUCAUUCUCUGAACCCUGCUGCUUCCUUACUCCUUCCCAAAUUCUGCUCAUUUUUCUCUUCCAAAAAGAUUUCCGAGUCAGAGAGGUUAAGCAACUUGCCUGAGGUCUCCCAGCGUGCCAGGUCAUCCAGGCUGGGACUGGUCUUCUAACUAAAACAACCACAGUCCCAGGGGUGGAAGCGGAUGGUGAGUAACCCCAGGGAGCGGCUCACUGGAGGCUUGAGUUGAAGGUCACCGUCCACAGUCCCCGUGUGGCUUUAAACAUUGCCUUUUUGCAGUCUCAGAGAACAGUUGGUGCUUCUGGGCAGGAGGAGCUGGGC